UACGGAGGUGGCAAGCGUUGCUCGGAAUCACUGGGCGUAAAGGGCGCGUAGGCGGGGAGGUAAGUCGGGUGUGAAAUCCCUCAGCUCAACUGAGGAAUUGCGCCCGAAACUGCUGUGCUAGAGGAAUACAGAGGUGAGCGGAACUUAGGGUGGAGCGGUGAAAUGCGUUGAUAUCCUAAGGAACACCGGUGGCGAAAGCGGCUCACUGGGUAUUUUCUGACGCUGAGGCACGAAAGCUAGGGGAGCAAACGGG
This 253-nucleotide ribosomal RNA is filed under the name uncultured bacterium. RNAcentral's name for it is "partial 16S ribosomal RNA". It matches the Rfam family "Bacterial small subunit ribosomal RNA", at positions 524 to 776 of the family's 1533-position model. The record is from RNAcentral.